GCUUACAGAGACACCACCCCGAGUAUGUCUGAUCUUGGAAACUAAGGUGGGUCGGGCCUGGUUAGUACUUGGAUGGAAAACUGCCUGAGAACACGAGGUGGUGUAAACU
This 109-nucleotide ribosomal RNA is filed under the name Scleropages formosus (Asian bonytongue). Lineage: Eukaryota; Metazoa; Chordata; Actinopteri; Osteoglossiformes; Osteoglossidae. The record is from RNAcentral.